Molecule: non-coding RNA, 69 nt
Organism: Podarcis lilfordi (Lilford's wall lizard)
Lineage: Eukaryota; Metazoa; Chordata; Lepidosauria; Squamata; Lacertidae
Source: the annotation of a GenBank genome assembly
ACUAUAGCUCAGUGGUAGAACAUCUGCUUUGCAUGCAGAAGAUAUCAAGUUCGAUUCCAGGCAUCUAUG